RNAcentral lists this ribosomal RNA (497 nucleotides) under uncultured bacterium. RNAcentral describes it as "partial 16S ribosomal RNA". It matches the Rfam family "Bacterial small subunit ribosomal RNA", at positions 28 to 507 of the family's 1533-position model. The record is from RNAcentral.
GAUGAACGCUGGCGGCGUGCCUAAUACAUGCAAGUCGAGCGAACGGACGAGAAGCUUGCUUCUCUGAUGUUAGCGGCGGACGGGUGAGUAACACGUGGAUAACCUACCUAUAAGACUGGGAUAACUUCGGGAAACCGGAGCUAAUACCGGAUAAUAUUUUGAACCUCAUGGUUCAAAAGUAAAAGACGGUCUUGCUGUCACUUAUAGAUGGAUCUGCGCUGCAUUUGCUAGUUGGUAAGGUAACGGCUUACCAAGGCAACGAUGCGUAGCGGACCUGAGAGGACGAGCAGCAAAACUGGGACUGAGACACGGCGAAGAAUGCUAGGGGAGGGAGAAGUGGGGAAUGUUGGACAAUGGGUGCAACACUGAUCCAGAAAUGCCGCGUGUGUGAAGAAGGCCUACGGGUUGUAAAGCACUUUUGUACGGAAAGAAAUAGAAAGUACUAAUAUGAGGAGUGGAUGACGGUACCGGAAGAAAAAGGAACGGCUAACUACGUG